This 296-nucleotide ribosomal RNA is filed under the name uncultured soil bacterium. RNAcentral's name for it is "partial 16S ribosomal RNA". It matches the Rfam family "Bacterial small subunit ribosomal RNA", at positions 26 to 313 of the family's 1533-position model. The record is from RNAcentral.
AGAGUGAACGCUGGCGGUAGGCCUAACACAUGCAAGUCGAACGGCAGCACGGUAAGAGCUUGCUCUUAUGGGUGGCGAGUGGCGGACGGGUGAGGAAUACAUCGGAAUCUACCUUUUGGUGGGGGAUAACGUAGGGAAACUUACGCUAAUACCGCAUACGCCCUUCGGGGGAAAGCCGGGGACCAGCAAUGGCCUGGCGCUGAUAGAUGAGCCGAUGUCGGAUUAGCUAGUUGGUGAGGUAAUGGCUCACCAAGGCGACGACUCCGUAGCUGGUCUGAGAGGAUGAUCAGCCACAC